RNAcentral lists this ribosomal RNA (1374 nucleotides) under metagenome. RNAcentral describes it as "bacterial LSU rRNA". It matches the Rfam family "Bacterial large subunit ribosomal RNA", at positions 1556 to 2925 of the family's 2925-position model. The record is from RNAcentral.
CCGAGGCCAACGAUCGAGCCAGCUUGCUGGUGAAGUGACUGAACGAGGUUCCAGGAAAAGCCACUAAGCUUCAGCUAUACACGACCGUACCGCAAACCGACACUGGUGCGCGAGAUGAGUAUUCUAAGGCGCUUGAGAGAACUCAGGAGAAGGAACUCGGCAAAUUGACACCGUAACUUCGGAAGAAGGUGUGCCCUAUUAGUGUGAAGUGAACAACGGAGCAUGAAUGGGUUGCAAAAAAUCGGUGGCUGCGACUGUUUAUUAAAAACACAGCACUCUGCAAACACGAAAGUGGACGUAUAGGGUGUGACGCCUGCCCGGUGCUGGAAGAUUAAAUGAUGGGGUGCAAGCUCUUGAUUGAAGUCCCAGUAAACGGCGGCCGUAACAAUAACGGUCCUAAGGUAGCGAAAUUCCUUGUCGGGUAAGUUCCGACCUGCACGAAUGGCGUAACGAUGGCCACACUGUCUCCUCCUGAGACUCAGCGAAGUUGAAAUGUUUGUGAUGAUGCAAUCUCCCCGCGGAAAGACGGAAAGACCCCAUGAACCUUUACUGUAGCUUUGUAUUGGACUUUGAACAGAUCUGUGUAGGAUAGGUGCAGGCUUUGAAGCAGGGUCGCUAGAUCUUGUGGAGCCAACGUUGAAAUACCACCCUGGUGUGUUUGAGGUUCUAACCUAGGUCCAUUAUCUGGAUCGGGGACAGUGCAUGGUAGGCAGUUUGACUGGGGCGGUCUCCUCCCAAAGCGUAACGGAGGAGUUCGAAGGUACGCUAGUUACGGUCGGACAUCGUGACGAUAGUGCAAUGGCAUAAGCGUGCUUAACUGCGAGACUGACAAGUCGAGCAGAUGCGAAAGCAGGACAUAGUGAUCCGGUGGUUCUGUAUGGAAGGGCCAUCGCUCAACGGAUAAAAGGUACUCUGGGGAUAACAGGCUGAUACCGCCCAAGAGUUCAUAUCGACGGCGGUGUUUGGCACCUCGAUGUCAGCUCAUCUCAUCCUGGGGCUGUAGCCGGUCCCAAGGGUAUGGCUGUUCGCCAUUUAAAGAGGUACGUGAGCUGGGUUUAAAACGUCGUGAGACAGUUUGGUCCCUAUCUUCCGUGGGCGCUGCAGAUUUGAGGAAGCCUGCUCCUAGUACGAGAGGACCGGAGUGGACACACCUCUGGUGUAUCGGUUGUCACGCCAGUGGCAUUGCCGAGUAGCUAAGUGUGGAAGAGAUAACCGCUGAAAGCAUCUAAGCGGGAAACUCGUUUCAAGAUGAGAUCUGCCGGGGCCUUGAGCCCCCUGAAGAGUCGUUCAAGACCAGGACGUUGAUAGGUCAGGUGUGGAAGCGCAGUAAUGCGUUAAGCUAACUGAUACUAAUUGCUCGUGCGGCUUGACCCU